CGGAGUGUAGUAUACCGGUAGUACGCGCCCUUCGGGAGGGCGUAGACUGGGUUCGAUUCCCAGCACUCCGA
This 71-nucleotide transfer RNA is filed under the name Methylomonas sp. RNAcentral's name for it is "tRNA-Pro". It matches the Rfam family "tRNA". Rfam says of the family: Transfer RNA (tRNA) molecules are approximately 80 nucleotides in length. Their secondary structure includes four short double-helical elements and three loops (D, anti-codon, and T loops). Lineage: Bacteria; Pseudomonadati; Pseudomonadota; Gammaproteobacteria; Methylococcales; Methylococcaceae. The record is from RNAcentral. RNAcentral also lists the same sequence under 1 other name.